CGAAAGUGAAGCUAAUACUCCAUGUGGUCAAUCAUUCGGUUGAUUGAUUAAAGCUAAGGCGCUUUGGGAGGGGCUUGCGGCCCAUCAGCUAGUUGGUAGGGUAAAGGCCUACCAAUGCGAAGACGGGUAGCUGGUUUGAGAGGACGAUCAGCCACAAUGGCACUGAAACACGGGCCAUACUCCUACGGGAGGCAGCAGUGAGGAAUAUUGCACAAUCGACGCAAGUCGGAUGCAGCAACGCCGCGUGGACGAUGAAGGCCUUCGGGUUGUAAAGUCCUUUUAAGAGGGACGAGGAAGGACGGUACCUCUUGAAUAAGUCUCGGCUAACUACGUGCCAGCAGCCGCGGUAACACGUAGGAGGCGAGCGUUAUCCGGAUUUAUUGGGCGUAAAGCGCAUGCAGGUGGCUAGGUAAGUCGGGUGUGAAAGCCCCGGACUUAAUCCGGGGAGGUCAUUCGAUACUGCUUGGCUUGAGAGCGGGAGAGGGAAGUGGAAUUCUCGGUGUAGUGGUGAUAUGCGUAGAUAUCGAGAGGAACACCAGUGGCGAAGGCGGCUUCCUGGCCCGUAUCUGACACUAAGAUGCGAAAGCGUGGGUAGCAAACGGACUUAGAUACUCCGGUAGUCCACGCUGUAAACGAUGGGUACUAGGUGUAGGGGGUGUAAAACUCUCUGUGCCAUAGUUAACGCACUAAGUACCCCGCCUGGGGACUACGGUCGCAAGGCUUAUACUCAAAGGAAUUGACGGGGGCCCGCACAAGCAGCGGAGCGUGUGGUUCAAUUCGAAGAUACACGAAGAACCUUACCUGGGCUUGACAUGUUGGUAGUAGUGAAGCGAAAGCGGAACGAUCCUUCGGGAAGCCAUCACAGGUGCUGCAUGGCUGUCGUCAGCUCGUGCCGUGAGGUGUUGGGUUAAGUCCUGUAACGAGCGCAACCCUCGCUGCCAGUUACAAGUGUCUGGCGGGACUGCCGGUGACAAACCGGCGGAAGGUGGGGAUGACGUCAAGUCAGCAUGGCCUUUAUGUCCAGGGCUACACACACGCUACAAUGGCCGGUACAAUAGGUUGCCAAGUCGUGAGGCGGAGC
RNAcentral lists this ribosomal RNA (1081 nucleotides) under uncultured organism. RNAcentral describes it as "bacterial SSU rRNA". It matches the Rfam family "Bacterial small subunit ribosomal RNA", at positions 152 to 1268 of the family's 1533-position model. The record is from RNAcentral.